RNAcentral lists this long non-coding RNA (814 nucleotides) under Olea europaea subsp. europaea. The record is from RNAcentral. Lineage: Eukaryota; Viridiplantae; Streptophyta; Magnoliopsida; Lamiales; Oleaceae.
GAACCCUCCGUGCACGAAGGUUUCUAAUUUCCUCGUUGCUUCUUCUAUUGACUUUUCCUAGUAUUCUGAGAGAAGAAAUUAGCUUUUUACCCAUGACCAAUUCUAUUAGAACAUAGACUCUGAUCUGAUUCAUUUGCUUCAGAAUUUUUGUGAAUUUUCAUCUGUGUGUUGCAUUUUGGGUCUUUCUUGUACUAUAAAAAUCAAAUUUGAGUGCUUGGAUGAGAGAAAAUGGGGAUUUGUAUGAGAAAAGAGAAGCGUGUAAAGUCGAACGCUAAUGGGCAUAGAGCUGGAAAUAAAGUGCAUCAUAAUCAGACUCCAAUUCAAUACACAAUGUCUCCAGGCUAUGCCGCCCAAUUUCUUAUAACCCCCCAGCAAGCCCUAAACGAGUUGUUCAAAAAGCGAACACCAUUUUAGGAAAGCCAUAUGAAGAUAUCAAAGCCUGUUACAGCCUUGGAUAAGAAUUGGGAAGAGGGCAAUUUGGCGUUACUCAUCUUUGUGCAGAUAUUUCAAUAGGUCAACAGUGUGCUUGCAAAUCAAUUUCCAAAAAGAAGCUUGUUACCAAGAGUGAUAAAGAGGAUAUGAGAAGAGAGAUUUAGAUUAUGAAGCAUUUGAGCGAGCAAUCUAAUAUUGUUGAAUUCAAGGGUGCUUAUGAGGAUAAACAGUCAGUGCAUCUUGUAAUGGAAUUGUGUGCUGGUGGAGAGCUUUUCGAUCGGAUCAUUGCAAAGGGACAUUACAGUGAAAGAGCUGCUGCUUCAAUCUGUAGGUCUAUUGUGAAAGUCAUGCAGAUUUGCCAUUUCAUGGGUGUGAUGCACGU